UAGGGGGCAGUAUAAAUGGAUGUACGUAGGGUUUUGAUCUCUUAGGCGUGGGUUCAAUCCCCACCCCUCUAA
Molecule: transfer RNA, 72 nt
Filed under: Megophrys omeimontis (Mount Omei spadefoot toad)
Lineage: Eukaryota; Metazoa; Chordata; Amphibia; Anura; Megophryidae
Description: Xenophrys omeimontis (Mount Omei spadefoot toad) tRNA-Gln
Rfam family: tRNA
About the family: Transfer RNA (tRNA) molecules are approximately 80 nucleotides in length. Their secondary structure includes four short double-helical elements and three loops (D, anti-codon, and T loops).
Source: RNAcentral